This 1618-nucleotide ribosomal RNA is filed under the name Hydraena sp. NLG-2014. Its description in RNAcentral is "partial 16S ribosomal RNA". The stretch from base 1470 to 1618 matches the Rfam family "Archaeal large subunit ribosomal RNA", at positions 2544 to 2693 of the family's 2987-position model. The record is from RNAcentral. Lineage: Eukaryota; Metazoa; Arthropoda; Insecta; Coleoptera; Hydraenidae.
AAAUUUGGCGGUAUUUUAGUCUAUUUGAUGGAACCUGUUCUAUAAUUGAUAAUCCACGAUUUGCGUUACUUAUUUUUAGUUUACAUAUCGUCGUAGUUGAAUGUUUUAAAAGAAAAAUAAUAUUCAUAAUUUUUUAUAAUAAAAAAAAUCAGAUCAAGGUGUAGCGUAUAAAUAAGAAGAAAUGGGUUACAAUAAAUAAAUUUAUAUGGUUAAUAAUUUUAAAAAAUUAUUAUAAAGUGGAUUUGAAAGUAAUAUAAUUUAAAUUAAUUAUAUGAUUUUAGCUCUAAAAUAUGUACAUAUCGCCCGUCACUCUCAUUUAAAGUGAGAUAAGUCGUAACAAAGUAGAUGUACUGGAAAGUGUAUCUAGUGGGCAAAUUAAAGCUCUAGAGCGUUUUAUUUACAUUAAAAAGGUAAUUGUAAUUCAAUUUAAUUUGAAUUUAAUUAAUUAAAUUUUUAAUUUUAAAAUAAAUAGGUUUAAGUUUUAUUAUUUAUUUAGAAAAAAUUUUUAUUUUUAUAGUUUAUUAGUAAAGUGAUUGAAUUUUUAAAUAUAUUAAAUUUUAAAUUUUAAAAAGAAAAAUUUAUUUUUUGUACCUUGUGUAUCAGGGUUUAUUAAAAAUUAAAUUAAAAUUAAUUUUUCUCGAAUUAAAAAGAGUUAAUAAUUUAUAUAUUUUAUUGUAAAAAAAAUAUUUAUAAUAAAUUAUUAGUAAUGAAACGUUAGUCGAUUUUUAAUAUAUCUAGUUUUUUUAGAAAUAAAUUUAAUUUAUUUUUCAAUAUAAAUUAUUUUAAAUUUUAAAUUUAAUUUUAUUGAAAUUAAAUAUUUUAGGGGAUAAGCUUUAAAAUAAAUUAAUAUAAAUUUAUAUAAAAUAAAUAUAUGUAGAAUUAAAAAUUUUAAUCAAUUUUAGUAUGUUAUAAUUAAUUUUUAAAUUAAUAAUAUUUAUAUAAAUUUUAUUUUAUUUAUAAAAAUAUAGUAUUUAAUUUUUAAAUAUUAGAAAUUAUGAUAAAAUUAGUAUAAUUUAUUGUAAAAUUAAAUAUAGUUUUAAAUAUAAAUUAAGGAACUCGGCAAAAUUAGUUUUCGCCUGUUUAUUAAAAACAUGUCCUUUUGAUAAUAAUUUAAGGUCUAACCUGCCCACUGAAAAUUUAAAUGGCCGCAGUAUUUUGACUGUGCAAAGGUAGCAUAAUCAUUAGUUUCUUAAUUAGAAGCUUGUAUGAAUGGUUGAACGAGAAACUUACUGUCUCAAUUUAUAAAUUAAAAUUUUAUUUUUAAGUUAAAAAGCUUAAAUGAUUUUAAAAGACGAGAAGACCCUAUAGAGUUUUAUAGUUUUAAUAAUUUUUAUUUUAGAAUUAUAAUAUAUUAUUAAAAUUAUUUUGUUGGGGUGACAUAUAAAUUUAAUAAACUUUAUAUUAUUAAUAACAUAAAUUUAUGAUUAUUUGAUCCAUAAAUAAUGAUUAAAAGAAAAAAUUACCUUAGGGAUAACAGCGUUAUUUUUUUUUAGAGUUCAAAUCGAAAAAAAAGUUUGCGACCUCGAUGUUGGAUUAAAGUUAAUUUAUGGUGUAGAAGCUAUAAAAUUAGGUCUGUUCGACCUUUAAAACUUUACAUGAUCUGAGUUCAAACCGGAGA